AGAGUUUGAUCCUGGCUCAGAUUGAACGCCGGCGGUAGGCUUAACACAUGCAAGUCGUGCGAGAAAGUAUCUUCGGAUACGAGUACAGCGGCGGACGGGUGAGUAACGCGUAGGAAUCUACCUAGUAGAAGGGGAUAGCCCGGGGAAACCCGGAUUAAUACCGUAUACCUCCUUCGGGAGAAAGAAGGCCUCUCUUUGAAGCUUUCGCUACUAGAUGAGCCUGCGUAAGAUUAGCUUGUUGGUGAGGUAAAGGCUCACCAAGGCAACGAUCUUUAGCUGGUUUGAGAGGACGAUCAGCCACAUUGGGACUGAGACACGGCCCAGACUCCUACGGGAGGCAGCAGUGGGGAAUAUUGGACAAUGGGCGCAAGCCUGAUCCAGCCAUACCGCGUGUGUGAAGAAGGCCUUCGGGUUGUAAAGCACUUUAAGCAGGGAGAAAAAGUUAUAAGCUAAUACCUUAUAACCUUGAUGUUACCUGCAGAAUAAGCACCGGCUAAUUCCGUGCCAGCAGCCGCGGUAAUACGGAAGGUGCAAGCGUUAAUCGGAAUUACUGGGCGUAAAGCGCGCGUAGGUGGUUUGUUAAGUUGGAUGUGAAAGCCCUGGGCUCAACCUAGGAACUGCAUCCAAAACUAACUCACUAGAGUACGAUAGAGGGAGGUAGAAUUCAUAGUGUAGCGGUGGAAUGCGUAGAUAUUAUGAAGAAUACCAGUGGCGAAGGCGGCCUCCUGGAUCUGUACUGACACUGAGGUGCGAAAGCGUGGGCAGCGAACAGGAUUAGAUACCCUGGUAGUCCACGCCGUAAACGAUGACAACUAGCUGUUAGGAGACUUUGUCUUUUAGUGGCGCAG
Molecule: ribosomal RNA, 848 nt
Filed under: uncultured bacterium
Lineage: Bacteria
Description: bacterial SSU rRNA
Rfam family: Bacterial small subunit ribosomal RNA
Source: RNAcentral